This 472-nucleotide long non-coding RNA is filed under the name Rattus norvegicus (Norway rat). Its description in RNAcentral is "long non-coding RNA NONRATT027323". Lineage: Eukaryota; Metazoa; Chordata; Mammalia; Rodentia; Muridae. The record is from RNAcentral.
UCCCUCCCUCUCUUCCUUUUUUUUUUUUUUAACAGCUCCAGCCAGAUAGUCUGUCUUCACAUGGGGCUCCCUGGCUCUUGCUUGCCACACCCGGCAAGGCCAUCCACGGCUGGGAACAUACCCCUUCCUGUGUACAGGCCAACGUGGUCCUUGAACCACUGCUGCAGAGCUGGUUUUGUGGAACCCAUCACAAGAUCAGAGGGUCCGGGGGAUGUUGGGAGAAGCAGUCUAGGAAGCAGGAUCUUUAAGAAUAGCUCCUGUGUUUGAGCUCACCCGGUGUAAUUCUGUCUCUGCUGCUCUUCAGGAAGCCUCCCUAGGGAAACACUGAUCCCCACACCCCUCUCACCUUUGCCCGGGGUUCUGGGUCUAUUAGUUUCACCUUGGGUUUUCCUGGGUUGCUGUCACCCUUGGACAGGGAGUGGGAUUCCUGAGGGAUGGACACCUGGUCCUCUCUUUCCCUUGCCAUCCAAAA